RNAcentral lists this ribosomal RNA (213 nucleotides) under uncultured bacterium. RNAcentral's name for it is "partial 16S ribosomal RNA". It matches the Rfam family "Bacterial small subunit ribosomal RNA", at positions 8 to 206 of the family's 1533-position model. The record is from RNAcentral.
AGAGUUUGAUCAUGGCUCAGGAUGAACGCUAGCUACAGGCUUAACACAUGCAAGUCGAGGGGCAGCAUCAUCAAAGCUUGCUUUGAUGGAUGGCGACCGGCGCGACGGGUGAGUAACACGUAUCCAACCUGUCCGACAACGACUGGGAUAGCCUUUCGAAAGAAAGAUUAAUACCGGAUGGCAUAAUUAUUCUGCAUGGGAUAAUUAUUAAAG